GUGUUCACAUUAGCAGCAUAGAUACUAAAGUUAGAAUGAUACAGAGGAAAUUAGCGUGGCCCUUGCAUAAGGAGGGCACACAUUUGUGAAGUGUUCUAUAUUUUU
This 105-nucleotide small nuclear RNA is filed under the name Carlito syrichta (Philippine tarsier). Lineage: Eukaryota; Metazoa; Chordata; Mammalia; Primates; Tarsiidae. The record is from RNAcentral.